Molecule: signal recognition particle RNA, 267 nt
Filed under: Diplodia seriata
Lineage: Eukaryota; Fungi; Ascomycota; Dothideomycetes; Botryosphaeriales; Botryosphaeriaceae
Description: Fungal signal recognition particle RNA
Rfam family: Fungal signal recognition particle RNA
Source: Rfam by way of RNAcentral
CGGCUGUAGCGGUCAUUCUCAUCUGAGAGGUGCAUUGAAACCACAACUUCUUUCCCUUCCAAAUGCUGAAACGAGGGCCCAGUUCGAAUCCGGUGGUGCCCGACCAACUCGUAUAGGUAACUUGCGAUGAAGGCGGGCUUAAGCAAUGAAGUCGACCGUUGAGGGAAGCAAUUCUGCAGACACGACUUCACCAUUGGAUGGCGGUGCUGGAAUACCCUCGCUUCGGUUUGGGAUAGGUGUUGUGGACUGAUGAAUCAACCAGGUAUU